CCUACGGGUGGCAGCAGUGAGGAAUAUUGGUCAAUGGGCGGGAGCCUGAACCAGCCAAGUCGCGUGAGGGAAGACGGUCCUACGGAUUGUAAACCUCUUUUGCCGGGGAGCAACGGGGUCCUUGCGAGGGCCCGAUGAGAGUACCCGGAGAAAAAGCAUCGGUUAACUCCGUGCCAGCAGCCGCGGUAAUACGGGGGGUGCGAGCGUUAUCCGGAUUUAUUGGGUUUAAAGGGUGCGUAGGCGGGCUGUUAAGUCAGCGGGCAAAUGUCGGGGCUCAACCCCGGCCUGCCGUUGAAAGUGGCGGCCACUAGUGGGCUAGAGGUAUGCAGAAGGAGUGGUGUAGCGGUG
This 348-nucleotide ribosomal RNA is filed under the name uncultured bacterium. RNAcentral's name for it is "partial 16S ribosomal RNA". It matches the Rfam family "Bacterial small subunit ribosomal RNA", at positions 338 to 683 of the family's 1533-position model. The record is from RNAcentral.